UCCCUGGUGGCUCAGAUGGUAAAGCAACUGCCUCCAAUGCGGGAGGCCCAGGUUCGAUCCCUGGGUUGGGAA
Transfer RNA from Ovis aries (sheep), 72 nucleotides. It matches the Rfam family "tRNA". From Rfam's summary of the family: Transfer RNA (tRNA) molecules are approximately 80 nucleotides in length. Their secondary structure includes four short double-helical elements and three loops (D, anti-codon, and T loops). The record is from Rfam. Lineage: Eukaryota; Metazoa; Chordata; Mammalia; Artiodactyla; Bovidae.